Molecule: non-coding RNA, 1314 nt
Organism: Podarcis muralis (Common wall lizard)
Lineage: Eukaryota; Metazoa; Chordata; Lepidosauria; Squamata; Lacertidae
Source: RefSeq, a predicted model, not a curated record
UUGCCGGAAGAAAUAUCAACAAAGUCAAAGCCCUAUAAGAUUUAAUAAUUUCAGUGGUGCGGUGACCACCUAGUGGGGCUCCUUUUCCAGAGAUGAGCGCCUAGUUCCUUCACGUGCAAUUCUUUGAGAGGUGUAUUUGCUCAGUUGAGCAUGAAAAAAAACAACAACCAGCCAGCAUCACCAGAAAAACUGAAGAGGCUGUGCAGCUGGCAGCUUUUAUGACAUCAGUCAUAAUCUGAGAGAACUGCAGCUGAAAUCAGUCAGCACAAAUAGGAGGUGCUGAAGGCAGCUGGUAUUAACAAAGCAUGCACUGGAAAGCAAAGCCUCCUCACCCCACCCCCACUCAGCAAAAAAAAGAAAAGGAAAAGAAAAAUCCUUGCUGCAGACGACUCAUAUACAGAAAACAGAAUAAAUGUUUCUCUGUCAGCCUUCCCUUUCCUGCAGUAGUGUCCCAGAACGUUUUUAUACAGGAUGGGGUUAGCCAUGGGCCCAGUACAGGCAACCAGGCUAUCUACAGUGGAGUUGCCAUAUCUGUAUUAAAGAGAAUGAUAUGUGAUUAUUUCCCCUCGCCUGCAUUCUAAUAUGUGCAAAAUAAGUGCUGAAAGAUUCUAAAAAAUUAAUUUCUAAUGGUAUGUACAGUAUUUAUAAUCAAGGCAAAAGAAUGCUUACGGGGACAAGCCAUGGAAGUUCUAGAUUAUUGACUACAAUUGAGACUAGGGUUACAUAGUGACGAUAUCUCAGUUCCUGCUUGUUUUUCACUUAACUGAAACAUAUAUUUUUUUUCCUUUCCUGUUCCUUGUCCAAUCACCCUUGGUUCACAGACCCUGCAGGAGAAAAGGGGAACAGUUUUGAUCUUCCAAAUGUAAUAUUGAUAUUGCUGCAUGCGACCCCAAUCUCCAAACAGUGCAGGACUCCAGGAGUUCCAGGUGCUUAUCCAAGGUCCGGUUUCCUUGGAAUGAGGGACAGUGUAGGCUGUGGUGCCCUUAUGAUAUACGGUUUAUUUACACAUAUAUACAACCUGAUGGUGGGACUCACAGCAUGAACACCCCAAGAGUCUUGGUUCGCCCAUAGUCAAAGCCUUGACUUCAAGCAGAAAUCAAGCAUGGCUCUGCCUUUCUGGCUUGCUUCUAGCCCAGCUUUCACAAAAACUCACUGGCUUUUGUCUUUCUCAUUACCAAUCAGGUGAGGGAACCACCCCACCCCACCCAUUUUCUCUAUGGCACAGAGCUACUUCCUUUGUUAAACUAAGCACCAUACAGUGGCACCUCUGGUUACAGACGCUUCAGGUUACAGUCUCCGCUAACCCAGAAAUAU